Molecule: ribosomal RNA, 468 nt
Filed under: uncultured bacterium
Lineage: Bacteria
Description: partial 16S ribosomal RNA
Rfam family: Bacterial small subunit ribosomal RNA
Source: RNAcentral
GACGAACGCUGGCGGCGUGCUUAACACAUGCAAGUCGAACGGAAAGGCCCUGCUUUUGUGGGGUGCUCGAGUGGCGAACGGGUGAGUAACACGUGAGUAACCUGCCCUUGACUUUGGGAUAACUUCAGGAAACUGGGGCUAAUACCGGAUAGGAUCUCCUGCUGCAUGGUGGGGGUUGGAAAGUUUCGGCGGUUGGGGCUGGACUCGCGGCUUAUCAGCUUGUUGGUGGGGUAGUGGCUUACCAAGGCUUUGACGGGUAGCCGGCCUGAGAGGGUGACCGGGCACAUUGGGACUGCGAUACGGCGCAGACUCGUACGGGAGGCAGCAGUGGGGAAUAUUGCACAAUGGGCGGAAGCCUGAUGCAGCAACGCCGCGUGCGGGAUGACGGCCUUCGGGUUGUAAACCGCUUUCGCCUGUGACGAAGCGUGAGUGACGGUAAUGGGUAAAGAAGCACCGGCUAACUACGUG